GGCGUGGCAUACGGCUCAGUAACACGUAGUCAACAUGCCCAAAGGACGUGGAUAACCUCGGGAAUCUGAGGAUAAACCGCGAUAGGCCAAGGUUUCUGGAAUGAGCCAUGGCCGAAAUCUAUACGGCCUUUGGAUUGGACUGCGGCCGAUCAGGCUGUUGGUGAGGUAAUGGCCCACCAAACCUGUUACCGGUACGGGCUUUGAGAGAAGGAGCCCGGAGAUGGGCACUGAGACAAGGGCCCAGGCCCUAUGGGGCGCAGCAGGCGCGAAACCUCUGCAAUAGGCGAAAGCUUGACAGGGUUAUUCUGAGUGAUCUCCGAUAAGGAGAUCUUUUGGCAUCUCUAAAAAUGAUGCAGAAUAAGGGGUGGGCAAGUCUGGUGUCAGCCGCCGCGGUAAUACCAGCACCCC
This 408-nucleotide ribosomal RNA is filed under the name uncultured archaeon. Its description in RNAcentral is "bacterial SSU rRNA". It matches the Rfam family "Archaeal small subunit ribosomal RNA", at positions 75 to 485 of the family's 1478-position model. The record is from RNAcentral.